UACAGAGGGUGCGAGCGUUAAUCGGAAUUACUGGGCGUAAAGCGUGCGCAGGCGGUUGUGCAAGACAGAUGUGAAAUCCCCGGGCUCAACCUGGGAAUUGCAUUUGUGACUGCACGGCUAGAGUGUGUCAGAGGGGGGGUAGAAUUCCACGUGUAGCAGUGAAAUGCGUAGAGAUGUGGAGGAAUACCGAUGGCGAAGGCAGCCCCCCUGGGAUAACACUGACGCUCAUGCACGAAAGCGUGGGGAGCAAACAGG
RNAcentral lists this ribosomal RNA (255 nucleotides) under uncultured bacterium. RNAcentral's name for it is "partial 16S ribosomal RNA". It matches the Rfam family "Bacterial small subunit ribosomal RNA", at positions 524 to 776 of the family's 1533-position model. The record is from RNAcentral.